CUACAAUGAUGGUUGAUAUUUUUCGUCAACAGCAGUUCACCUAGUGAGUGUUGAUACUUUGGGUCUGAGUGA
RNAcentral lists this small nucleolar RNA (72 nucleotides) under Sciurus vulgaris (Eurasian red squirrel). RNAcentral describes it as "Small nucleolar RNA SNORD56 (ENSSVLG00005010053.1)". It matches the Rfam family "Small nucleolar RNA SNORD56". From Rfam's summary of the family: U56 belongs to the C/D class of snoRNA which contain the C (UGAUGA) and D (CUGA) box motifs. Most of the members of the box C/D family function in directing site-specific 2'-O-methylation of substrate RNAs. The record is from Rfam by way of RNAcentral. Lineage: Eukaryota; Metazoa; Chordata; Mammalia; Rodentia; Sciuridae.